GGGAAGAGUCCUUUCUGGCCCCUGGCGAGAAGACGGCUCACGGCUUGCAUGUACAAGAUCGUAGUGAAAUCGCAGCUUCACCGUCCGUUCGCGCUGAUCCCGAGCAGCGUGUCAGCCGAGAGGGAACUCGGUAAAGAAAUUCGGCUCGAGGGCCUCUAUUUCCACAGGCUUUGUCUUGUUUCUAUAGGAUCUGCUGCUCCAACCCUAUCUACUUGUGAUGUACCCUGGGUUGGUUUGGCCUUUUACGUAAUCCUUUCCGCUGAUGGUUAUGGGUAAACCACAGUAAAGCAGAAAGGAAAGCCUCUCAGGACAACGUUUUCGUCGCCGUUAAAGCCGAGAGAGAAGUCUCUAAAGCCCGCUAUGGUCUGGGCUCUCGCUUACGUCGUCCGUCCGGGGGACUCCAUUACGCUGCUCGCCCUAUUAGCCGGCGGCAACCAUGGUAAUUUAUUAAUUUCAGCCAGUCCGUAAUUUGUUGAAUAAUAGCAGCCGGUUGAGAUAUUUCGCCAGGAAAUUCAUCUUCGGUAUGGUACACAUAUCUAUACAGUAUUGCAGAGACGAGCUGGCUAGACUCUUAUCGAAAUUGCGUAUAGAAAGAGAUUCGUCUUGAAAGCUAGACAGACAAUUUCUAUUCCCUAUGGCCCAUGUGAUAGUGAAAGACAACAUUGUCCUAGAACGGUCAAAUAGAAUUUGAAUCUUCUAUUUGACUUCCUACGGGCAUCACAUGAUUACCAUAGUAUAUGAAGACCUCAGUCAGCUCCCCACCAAUGAGCGGUGGUGCUUCUGUUCCAGUCGACUCAUUACCAUAGUCAGGAUGCAACCGUGUAUAGUUUCUUUUGUUGUAUAUGAUGUACCUAGGUUGNNNNNNNNNNNNNNNNNNNNNNNNNNNNNNNNNNNNNNNNNNNNNNNNNNNNNNNNNNNNNNNNNNNNNNNNNNNNNNNNNNNNNNNNNNNNNNNNNNNNNNNNNNNNNNNNNNNNNNNNNNNNNNNNNNNNNNNNNNNNNNNNNNNNNNNNNNNNNNNNNNNNNNNNNNNNNNNNNNNNNNNNNNNNNNNNNNNNNNNNNNNNNNNNNNNNNNNNNNNNNNNNNNNNNNNNNNNNNNNNNNNNNNNNNNNNNNNNNNNNNNNNNNNNNNNNNNNNNNNNNNNNNNNNNNNNNNNNNNNNNNNNNNNNNNNNNNNNNNNNNNNNNNNNNNNNNNNNNNNNNNNNNNNNNNNNNNNNNNNNNNNNNNNNNNNNNNNNNNNNNNNNNNNNNNNNNNNNNNNNNNNNNNNNNNNNNNNNNNNNNNNNNNNNNNNNNNNNNNNNNNNNNNNNNNNNNNNNNNNNNNNNNNNNNNNNNNNNNNNNNNNNNNNNNNNNNNNNNNNNACUCUAUAACCUUGCUCACUCUAGAACCAGGGGGAGACUCACUGGCUGACUCCUACUCCUACUCAUACAGGCUUAGCUUACAGAGUAGCUUUCCUCUAGCUUACUUUGAAUCACCCUUAACCUACUUCCAAAAAGGGUGAACCAUAGAAUGAUGAUUAGCGGGCUAGGAUCUGAGUUUGUGGCUUCCUUGCUAGCGGGAUAGAAAGUAGGCUAAGGAAGGGUUAAGGGAAUUACUUACAGCGACGAAAGGGUUAGAGCGUUAGAUGAGGGUUAGAGAGUGGGACUAGUUCUCCUACUACAACGAGGGGAUCUAUACUCCAGGUUAGAGGAUAGACUCAUAUACCAGGCACUAAGGGUUAGAACGUAGCCUGACUCUAUACUUUUGGGUUUAGGGUUUCAGCGUGGGAUUAACUUAAGAACUACGCCUACAAGGCGGUUAGCUGUGCUUCCCUUCCUCAACGGUAACUGGCAGCUAAGACUGCUUAUUCCUUGUUCACAUUCAACUUCCUUACCUUAAAACCAUGAGCAGAGUGCCGCCGAGAGGAAUCGGACUUAUUUAAUCAUUCCCAUUGAUUGUAGUCGUUUAGUUCCAUUCGUUCGCUUUAGAAAGGGUAGUUACCCCUGGUCUUUCUCACCUUGGGCUUGAGCCAGUAGAAAUGACUUAAUCAAGAGAGAGAACCCCUUUGAACGGGAUCAACUAUAUCCACUUAAGUCGGCCUUACUCGGGUGAAUUUCUACGCUUAUCUCAUCUGCUAGCUCGCCUUCUUCUUUAACUAGUCUUUACUUUAGCAUUCUCUUUCUCUUUCUCUUUCUGGCUUAGCCUAGCCCAUGAGAACAUACUUUUCUUUUUCAAUUCAUUUCCAUCGGACUUAUCCGGGUUCUAAUUAAUAAGUAGCUUGCCUGGGGGUGAGCUCCUCCUACUGAUCUUACUCCAAGAGAUUCAAUAUCACCGGAGAGAAAGCCUAGUCACAGGAACUGAAACAAUUGAAUUACCUGAGGCUAUCCCAGUUCCAGUUUCGGUAACACGAGAAAGUCUGUCUUUUGGCAUAUAUCUGUCUUCUUCUUUAAACCCCUAAACUAUUCCUUAUAGUAUAAUCUACCUACGCAACUCUUUUGAAGUUAAGCAGGCUUCAAAGCUUUAAGGGCUAGGCUUGCUGCUGGGGUUUCAUUUUUAAUAUUAAAGAGCUCGGCCUUGAGCCUUUACCUACCUAAAUCAAUUCCCUUUUGCCUAGGUCUGGGAUCGAUCCUUUCUCUUCCUCUGGUCUAGUUAGUGACUUCGCUUCCCGCCCUUAAUUAGGAGUUUUGGCUUUGUUAGCCAGGCCUUUGAAACCAAGGAAAGUAGUCAUCAACCCAGAGCUAGUUCUAACAACUACCGAUUCUUCUGGGGCACUGAACCUACCUUAACCUAGGAAAGUGACUUCGAUAGGCCUCCUUCCCCCUUGCUGCUUGAAACUAAAAGUCUGGCAGACAAAGCUAAAUGUGCGAUUUUGAGCUGUCGUCCCGCUUAUGAAUACCUGCUUCUUUCACUCUUUAAGACUGUCGGAUGGUACUUGGUUGUUCCCUAAAGCAUUCCCGUUCGCCCCUUGGCUUCGUUCAAUCAAAAAGCAUUUCUCGCCCCAGGUCUAGGAUCGAGCCCUUCUAUGGAAAAUUCGGUAUUAAGUCAUAGAUGCGCCUUUCGACUGGCAUUCACUCCUCCAACACCAACUGAUUCAAUGUCGCUUGGGAUCGGAUCCUUCCAAAAUUCAUUUCCCCUGGAGCUGUGUUCUUUCCCUCCGAAAUCGAUGAUUCUUGGCUACUUGAUUAGGCAUUUCCAUCUCUCAAACUAGAAAGCGCUUUAGCUUAGGAAAGCUCCUUACUUCGUUUUAUACCGCGAGUGACGAACUAUAGCCAUUCGCGGUCACCGCUGUCCUACUUUACUUUUUUAUUAAACCUCACCCAAGGCAAAUCUCGCCCCAUCAAGCAUUUUCACUCGAGCGAAAACAGCUGACCAAGAGACAAGAGCUACCUCACCAGACUCCAUUACUCCUAAGGCUUCUAGAGAGUCUUACUAAUGGCAUACUUCUUCAGUCGAAUGCUCCUGGGCAAAAGAAAGAUGACAUAGACUAUGCCGUUUAUUCAAAAGAGCCAUCACAGCUUAUGAAAGAACAGCUUGGAAAUGGCUAAUUAGUUUAAGGUACUAACCAACUGAGCCGCAGAGAGCCCUUUUUUCAGUGUUGGCGGAAUAGGACCUGUUGGUGGUUUAAAGGGCAUUACAUUAGGAUAUGGAAUAAAUACGACUUUGGUUCCAGAGAUAGCGAUUCGGCUUAGUGAAAAUAGAACUAAAGAGAACGGGUUCAACUUAUCCCAAUCCUCGCUCUGGACCAAGGUGCGUAGCCUUUUAACAUUCUCUUUCUCUCUUUCUGGCUUAGCCUACCAGGGAAAUGGCUCCUUCUUAUUGAUAGCACAUGUGAGAACACCCUUAAGAGGCAAGCUUCACUAAUAUCCCAGGAAUGGGGAAUGAAAGAACUUCUGCUAUCUACUCACUCUUGCCACUGAGAGGGGAUGAGUGAAUACCUGGAAGAUAAAGUUCUCUUAUUCCCGGGAUCAGGGCAUCGACUGCUUAAUUUAUAAAUUCAUACCCGAUAGCAGUAGCCAAUGUCGGAGUUGGAAGAGGAGCCGUUGGUGCUUUAGUUCCGUAGCUCUUGCCUGAGACGGAAAGUUGGCAAAGGCUUCAGACGCGGUCUCCGGUCUCCCUUUUUGGGCACGUGCCAAUCGGUCUUAAAGCCUCGAUGUCCACUAAAGAAGAUAGAGAUCGAGAGAUGUGGCACUCUUCAUAAUGAUUUAGAAAGGCAAGCAAUAGCUGUUUUAAAAGGCAAAGGUUGACUUUAAUUAGCAGGCUCAAGGUCAAUUUCUUUUUGAGUUCCCGGCCCAAGUCAAGGCGAUGCAAUAGUCGGGCGAUAAGGAAGAAGCAGUCCCAGGCCUUAGGUCCAGAUCUGAGAACUUUCGAGAUGUGAAUCAUAGCCUAGUCUAGUUUCGUACCCAACAGCUAAAAGUGAUGUCAUAUUAAAACUUUAUAGAGAAUCACCCAUCGGCCUUAGGAUCCGAGUUUGAAUUGGCUAGGGGGCAUGAGCGGUAGUCAGUGUCAGUGCUUUUGCUCUUACAUAUGCCAGUCUUUUUUCUGUUGAUGCGAAAUAAGUGGUCUUAGCCUUGAGGUUUGGAUUGAAGCACGUCUAAUAGUCGACGAAAGGACAACAGUUUUCAGGUUAAAAAUUAUUUUAUCCCCAUGCCUUUCAUCCGAGAGGAUGUGGUAGUCUAUCUGAAGAGGUCUCCCUAUCUUUCUUCUAUCUUUAAGAUCUAAUCUAGUUAAUGUUAGAACUUUCUCGAGCAUUCUCUUACGUUACGGAUAGAGCAGUCUUGUCUACCUUUGUUUGGUAUGGAAUGAAGGUAGGUGUCUAUCUAGUCAGAGUGAGGUAUUGUUUUUCGAUCAAAUUUGCUAACUUUCCUUUGAAAUGAAGUCCGGUCGAUCACUCUUCCCUUGAAGUCUCCAGCAUUGACCCCUCUUGGCCUCUUUCAUUAGAAAAGGAAAGCGAAAAAUUAUACAAAAACAAAUUACUCAUCACAGAAGGAAGUUUGAAUCCGUCUAAACCCGAUUUCCUUCGUCUUGUCUACAUUUCAUGACUUCUCCCUACACUUCUCUUCUUGCCCAUCUUCACUCCUAAACCUGGACUUGGACUGGCUCGCUUGAAAGAAAUGUACGAAUGCAGCUCGAAAGAGCGGUCUUCAUCUCGUGCGAAAGACUCAUCCCAGGAAAGUCAAAGAAAAGGUCCGACAGAGCAGCGCCUUCGAAGGGCCAGGGCCUAGAAAUGGAACUCUUCGGGAUGCUAAAGUAAAGAGUCAGUCUUUUUCCCUCUACUCCAGUCGAUUUGAAGAAGAGCUGGCUUCUGACUGUAAGCUAUCAACAUAUCUGGGAAUAACCUUUAUCGAGUCGCAUCGAGAAAGAGUUAAAAGAUCUCUCCGUCGUUACGCCCCUUUGAUUCUCUUGUUUUGGGUGUGGGAUCUUUACCAUCUAGCCAUUGAAAGCAGUCUAGUUAAGUCUUUGAAACCAAGGAAAGCAUUCCAAUCACAUCUGAUGAAACAAUAGGCAGAUUAAAAAAAAAAGAAAAAGAUCAAGGCUAAGAGCAAGUGCCACAGAUGAUUCGAGAACUGCCUACUUUGCUACUGAUGGCAUGGCAUACUUCACUAAAUCGGUCUAAUUUGCCUAUCCCUAUUCUUUCACAAGGCAUUCUAGCAAAGAAAAGAGUCGAGCCUAAGCGGUUCAAGCCUAUGUGACCAAUGCUAGCAUAGCUCUUUCAACCUUAGGGGAUUCAGCUCUAUCCAUUCCGAUUGAAAAAAGAGAUACAAUCUAUUCAUCGAAGCUAGCCACUAUCCUCGUAUAAUAAUGCAGAUCUGUGGGCAUUGGGACUUCUUUGCUCCUUCUCUGAGAGAAACUUCCUCUUAUUCGAUCUUAUUAGCUUAGCCUGGAGAGUUAGCUGAUGCUGAUCUGGUAGUAUCAAAGAGGCGAUUCUCAACAGCUUCAACAGCAGAGAUUAUCGGACAUGAGGAUAGGAUGAAGAUGGUGGGAUGAAGUAGUCUUUAAAAAACCAUUAGUAAGGGAAGGCAAAGAAGUAACUGAGGGAAGGGACCUUUACCAUUUCGCUUCUUCCGCUUUUUGGGGAUUCCACUAAUAGAACAGAACUCGAGGGGAACGAAAGGAGUGACCUUCACUCGGAUUAGGGGCUAACCAUGAAUGUCGAGGUGAGCCGGCAAGACCGGGGAAAGAACCUAAUGAGACCCUGUAUGAAGCUCGGGUGCUUCAUGUAGAGAGAGACCGAAGCCAGUCUAGUUCACUUCAUGAUGCCAGGCAAUGAAUCAGUCAAGUAGCGGCUCCUGGCCGGUCUUUGGUUUGCAGACGUUUGGGAAUAGACCGUCUUCUUGCUCUUUUCUAAUAUUCCAAUAUUCAUCUAGCUUUUUAUGCCUAACAAUUGAAUUACGCUUUCAACCUCGUAUGGGUCAGGUGGUCAAUGAGUUGGUCUUCCCUAUGAGUUAGGAGGAGCCGGGUUAGAAGAAUUGUUAGGGAAGGUCCUUGUAGAUGGUCAGAGUCUAGGGAUAGACUCAUUGACUAGUUAGACUGUCUAAGUACUCGUACCAUUCAUGGAUUAGUUGACCAAUCGUGUCAAUUGAAGGAAUGCAUCUGCACUCUCCUAUAGCCUAUAGGGAGGGAGACCUCUUCCUUCCAGGUCAGAGAAAGAAGACAGAUUCUUGAAGACGUCGAUUGGAAGAGUCUGAGUAUGAUCGUCUUCCGGUGACUUGCAGGAUCCAUUUCCGCCUUCUUGUGCUCCUGUAUUCUCAUCCAAUCGUGGAAGCCAUUCAACGCCCCUCUCUUCGGGACCCUCUUAUUUAGCCCGCAGCUGAAAGGAACUUGAUCAACUCGCUGAGAGAACCAAUCUCUGGUAAGCAGUCACCAGGGCAGCAAGGUCAGGCAACAGAGGUUCCCAAAGAAAGGCCGCCUGGGAGGUUUAGCUUAAAGAAGGAGAAAGAUCUGAGUUAACCCAAAGGAGAGGGAAAGGUAAGAAGUCACUCUUCGAGGCAUAGCGCCGUUCUUUAAGCUGUAUUGACCUUGCGCAUAGCCGGUCUGUUGUCAAAGAAUCUCUCUCAUAGGUUAGCUCUCGGGUAAGCGAGACUGAAAGCUUUCUUCGCUGCAUGAGAGCAAGUAAGAAACAGGAAGAGGUGCGUCUAGCCUUAACCCUUUGGCCAGUUGUCUCUAAUAUUACUUUUUUUUGUGCUAAGGCAUCGGUUUUAGGAAGAUAGGUACAUGCUAUUCUAUUAAAGGGGCGAAGCGCUAGUUCGUGGGAAGAGUCCUUUCCUAGCUCGUCAGCCAGCAUCCACCUCACGAACAAGCAGUCCCACUACGCACUAACUAUCAAUUUCAUAAGAGAAGACAGAUCGUAAGGAGAUUUUCGAUGAGUUAGCACUACCUCGAUGUGACAGAAUAAGAGUAAGAAAGCAGAAAAGUAUUCCUCUGAAAAUAGAACUAGUAGCGGAGUGAAGUAGAGAAGACUUUCAGUUCUGCCUUAGCUAGGGAGGGAGGAGUUGUAGGUAUUGCGCUUAUUCGAUUGCACAGUGGAGACAGCAUUUCUUCUCCUCAUACAACUACCCAGUGGUUUUGGAAUAAGAUAUAGCCUUGUUUUUAUCCUCAUAUGCCUCAGUCAUUCAUUGACUACAGCCGUCCCAAUGUGAACUCACUUUUACCUAGUACUUUUUUUAUUAUAAAGAAGAAUUACUGUAUGUCCUGUCAAUUCAAUAGUGUCUGGCUUCUCGGCUGUACUUAUUUGACUACUUCCCCGAAACUUAACUCUAGGUAAGGCCCUCAAGGUCAAUAAGUAAGGAAAGAAAACUACUAGGCCUCCUCUUCUAGGUUGACUCUAGGCUUCUGACUCUUCUGGGGUUCCUCUCCUCGUAGGCUAGGCGGGCUCCCGACUAACAUUUUAUUACUCCCGGAAAAAAGACCCUAGCAGCAGGAGCGCAUUUUUAAAUAAAUUAAAUAAGACCGACCAAGUGCCACUCAAAAGUCUUCUUCUGCUCUCUGAAUCUUAUAUUCAUUCGAAGCUAAGCCAGCUUGCCGGGAAAUCGCUUUCUAAUCUUCUCUGGGCGGAUUCAUCUUCUAGUUUUCGCUAUUCUAUGCAAACAAAACUCCUUCCUAGCUAGGCUUCUCCUUUCCCAGGAGAACUCUUUCUCUUCUAGGUUGACUCUUCUCCGAACUCUUCUUUUAGAACCAGAACAAGGGCAAGCCCUCUAAGCUAUUUAAAAAAUAAAAAUAUAAGUAACAACAAUUGCUAUUGAAUCUCCGGCUAUAGAAUAAGCGGAUUCUAUAAAAAGUAAUUCUUCUUCUUUGACGGCAGGAACACAUUCUGACUUGAAGUUGAAAGAUGCAAAGUCAAGAAUAUCAUAAGUCAAGCAGUUUCUAAAGAAAAGAUUGAUGCUAGCUCCGCUUCCUUCUCUAAUUUUAUGGGUAGGGCCUUCCACAGCGGGAACACGUUCUUCAAAUUGAAAGCAAGAAAGACCAAUGUCAUUCACGCGCUUACUUUACUUCCCAUUCUGGUCGAGUUCGCCGCUUCGAAGCUAGGAUUCCUCUUUUUUUUUUCUAUCUACGAACGUAAAAAUAUGUGAUGUGGUAUCUUACUUAUCUUAGUCUUAGAGAUUGGAUCUUAUUCAAAUGAAAAUGAAAAGCCUACCCAUCCCAGCUAUGAAAUCAGUAGAAGGAACACAGCCGAUUUGGAAACAUUCUCCGAUUCCUCUACAGAAUAUGGUUGAGCAAAAGAAACCGACUCAGCAACAAAGACAAGUGGUAGCAUACUAUGUUUCUUCAUAGGAUUAGGAGAUAUAAUAUGAUCGAGCAACAAAAAUUGGUUCAGCGGUUAGAGUUAUACUAUCUUAUUUUUAUAGAAUCGAUUACUGAUUGGAGACAUCAACCGAUGAGGAGACAACCUCUGAUUAAGUGACCUCUUUAUAGAUCAACCUUUCCCGGGAAAGAAGUUUUCUUCUCUAAAGCAGACUCCAUGGCACCAAACUAUUAGGAUUAGAAGACAGAAUCUGGUUCUGUGGGGGAAGGAAGACCUGACUUCAGGAGUGAAAGUGAAGUUCCUACAAAGGAAGAUUCAUUAGUUCUAUUUAAGAUUCUUAUUCAAGAUCCGUUAUUAUUAUUAUAUUUAUAAAUAAUAAUAAAAAAGCUUACCCUUGAUUUCCAAAAGGGAAAAAGCCCUUCAAAGUAAAGAAAGAAAGGCUAGUGCCACGGACUCUUAAACGAAAGGAAAUGAAUGAGUUCCAGAUCCAUUUAUGGCGUCCCGAGUUCUUUAUUCUCUUUGCUCGGCUUCUUUUUCUAUUGAUCAGAAGCAUCAAGCAGCGCCGGUUUAGAAUUCGAUUCUAAGAAAGGGCUCAGGCCCUCCCCCCUCCCUUUUUUUAUCCCAUUCUUGCUUUCAACUAUUGAAAAUUCUGUCUAUUUCACCGCCAUACCAAAAAAAAAGUAUCCUACUUUGCGUGAUGGUCAUAUAUGAUGACCAAUCUUAUCAAUUGGAACGAUGUUCAGGCAUACCUGAAAGCAACCAAUGUCACUGAAGCUACUACUAGGAAGCUUCUUGACUUUAUAGGACAGUCGUCAUACUUCUUGCUUUUCUUGGAAGCGUCGUGCGUAUGUUCCUAAGGCUGGCCUUGUCAAUUCCUAAGCUUUGCUUCCCCGUCCCCCCUAGGCUUAGUCCCCUUAUGAAUCAAAAUUUACCAGGAUAGGCCUCUUCUUCAUACUGAAGAAAAAGUCACUCGAAGUAGUCAGCUUAUUAGCAGUAUAAGAGGAAGCCUAGCUAAAUAAGUAUGUAAGAAGCUUCCCUUUAACUUAAGGCUUGAGCUUGCCCUUUUCAUAACAUCAAAUUCGGCCUAGAACGCCUAGCGACUAUUACUAUAAAUAAGAAAAGGCUAGGUGUCCAUGCCACCAACCAACUCCUGAAAGAAAACAAGAGCUUCUCCGUCCGACAAACCACUAGAAGUACCCAUCGAGUCGAGCAAUGAUCCAAUGAAGCAAGCUGCUCUUUGUCACCCCAUUUUCCCCGGGAAACAAGAGCAGGAGCAGCCCAUUCAGGCUUGGUCAAUGAAAAUUUUACUAUUAAUAGGCCGGAACCGUAGCCAAUGAGUCUGCUCCACUCCUCUUUGUUCUGCACCACUUGGCUAUAGCUAUUUCCCCACCUAGGAUCCCCAAAAAAAUAGCAUAAUAUAUAAUAUAAUAAAGUGAAAGAUUAGAUUGUUACAGAAGACCAGAUCGAGGGAAGGUACCGGACAAUCAAAGAAAGAAGCCAGCUUAAAAGCACCCUGGUCGAAGCGAAGCGCAUGCGAUGAGGGAAGAGAGAGACCACCAAUGCAAGUGGAUCGACUUAAGCAUCGAUUUCGAAGGCGACAACAUGAAGCAUGAAAAUAGAGCCAGCCACUUUUCUCGUUAAUAAUGCUACAAGCAACAAUGAGAAAACACGCUCUUGGAUGCAUGCAUGCCCCUAUCCCCCACCCAUCGUCCUGAUCUUGGCUUGAAGUAUCCAACCCGAUCUUGGCUUGGAGUAUCCAAGUAGCGCUAAAAUGAAAAAGCGAACUAUUGGAAUUCUUGGGCUUAGCCUUUGAAUUGCCCUGGAUCAGUCCUAUACUAGGUCACAAUCAACCCAUAACUUAAAAUAAAAGAAAAAGAUCGAAGUCGAGAAGCUCAUCGCUCAUGCUUCCAACCCGUGCUUUCAACCCCGGAAAGACUUCGUUGACACACACAAUAUCUUCACCACCCUCCCGACUCGCGAUCCCCAAUGUGGCUUUCCUCACUUCGGUAAGUUACAAGGAUGAAUGCAAAUAGCAAGGCGCUAUGCUGCGUGAAGUGAGACUGGCUGCCCUAAGUUAAGUGCUUCCUUAUUCAUUAAUGAUCUUGCUCAGUAGGAGGGCUUUCCCCCUUCUGUGCAGCCUGAUUCUAUCUCUGGAAAUGAGGUUGCCCUCGAUUGACAUUUAUCAUCGAAUAUGGAAUCCUCCCAUGGAUGAGAAGGUUGAGUUACAGACUCCGUUGGCUUUCGCAGGGAAGCAUCUCGAAAGUUCCGUAAUCUAUGGUUGAUGCCUCACUCGAACUCUAUCCCAUUCCCUACUUUACUUUAUUCGUCCGAGCGGCCCCUCUAGGAUGCGAUGCGGGAAGGAAGAAGGAUUUCUUUCUACCAUUAAAUAAUUCGCAAUAGUUAACCAAGCAGUAGCCAAGAACAAAGAAGCAAGCCAAGAUCAAUGGAGGGUCGCCCCAGUCAAAGAUGGUAAGGAGUAGCAUCAAUAACAUUCAUUGUAUGUACGCCUCUCAGCGAUCCACAGGCAUCUGUAGCAUGUUGUACCCGAGGGUCAUUUGGGCUGUGUCCGUUACACCAUGGACAAUAAUCUUAGUCGGAAUCAAAUUCCUUACCUUUCAACCUAAAGCUGAACAUAUCCGCACAGGUAUUCUAUUUAUUGAGGAUCCAUUUUCUAAAAAUGCCCCCUUUUGAUUAGCCAGUUUCUAAGGGGGAGAAGCAAGCCGAACCUCUGAUUGACCUAGACACAAAAAAUUCUCGGCGUCGAGAAAGAUUUGAGAUUCCGUAAGUAACAAAGUGAGUGCUUUCUAAGGGAAAAAGAAAAUGAAAUACGAACAACCGCGCUAGUCGUAAUAGAUCGACUUUCAUGCUAGUUCUUGCUCCAGCAUGAAAGUUCCAUUUCAGGGAAGGACGACGUACCAUGAUACUUUCUGUUUUGUCGAGCCUUGCUUUGGUCUCUGGUUUGAUGGUUGUACGUGCUAAAAAUCCGGUACAUUCCGUUUUGUUUCCCAUCCUAGUCUUUUGCGACACUUCAGGUUUACUUCUUUUGUUAGGUCUCGACUUCUCCGCUAUGAUCUUCCCAGUAGUUCAUAUAGGAGCUAUAGCCGUUUCAUUCCUAUUCGUUGUUAUGAUGUUCCAUAUUCAAAUAGCGGAGAUUCACGAAGAAGUAUUACGCUAUUUACCAGUGAGUGGUAUUAUUGGACUGAUCUUUUGGUGGGAAAUGUUCUUCAUUUUAGAUAAUGAAACCAUUCCAUUACUACCAACCCAAAGAAAUACGACCUCUCUGAGAUAUACGGUUUAUGCCGUAAAGGUACGAAGUUGGACUAAUUUGGAAACAUUGGGCAAUUUACUUUAUACCUACUAUUUCGUCUGGUUUUUGGUUCCUAGUCUGAUUUUAUUAGUAGCCAUGAUUGGGGCUAUAGUACUAACUAUGCAUAGGACUACCCACGGAGCGGUGAAAAGACAGGAUGUAUUCCGACGAAAUGCUAUUUCUUUUAGGAGGACUAUAAUGAGGAGGACGACAGACCCAAUCACGAGAUAAUAAAGGAAAAGAAAGGAACGUCAGAUUGGUUCGAAUCCAAUUCGUGGUGAGAUAACAGGAAUCUAAAACUAAGAAUGCCAAUAAUCUACUCCUUGACUCCGAUUCAUUCAAAACUUCUUGUGAGGAGACUCAGAAAAGACUUCUAAAAUAGAUCACAGUCAAACAUAGAACGUACGUAAAUUAAAAAAGUCUUUACCUCCGACCUCACUUUGAAAACAAGGAAGAAAGGAACUUUUCACUACCGAUAUACAAAGAAGGAGAAAUGCUCAUCUUUCUCUAUAGUACGAAGCACUCAUAGCACUUGCUGGGAUCAAUUCUUGGAUCACUAAGAGGCAUUCUAAAAACUUAUUCUCUUCCGAAAAGAAGAGAGGCAUCUUCAGGUAGUUAGAAGCAGGUAGUAAUGCUGGGGGUUUGGGGACCGCAGCCCCCCUUGUAAGCAGUAACCAUGUUCUCGUGGCGGUGCCUUUCUUAUUGAUUUGGUGGGGGUGGCUUUCUUGGUUUAAAGAAUAUCUCUUAGAGGUUAGCUCUCUGGUAAGCGAAUAAGGUAGUGCUAACUAUCUUCGCAAGAUGAGAGCAAGCAAGUCCCGAGAGAAAGUAAGCAGGUAGUGCUUUCGCGCAUAGCAGGUCUCGUGUGCAUGAAUGUGUUGAUUGCGCCUUUGUCUUUUCUUUAAUAAAUAUCUCUUAGCUCUGCCAAUUAGUAGGACUUCCUGCACUGAAAGCUUAGUAAAGUAGAGAAGAAAGAGGAUGCACAACGAAGAGAAGCCAAGACCCAAUACCCAAGGACGAAAGGGAGAAUGUAAAAGAGAACCACUCAGCCCAAAGGGAAGAAGACUAAAGACAACCAAAAUGGGAGCGGAGAAGAAUGAAGCCAACCCCCGAAAAAGGUAAAAAAAAGAAGAAAGCGGCAAACUCCAGAGAGAGGGGAAGGGCAGAGAAGUAAACCAUCCAGAGAGGGAGAAAAAAGGAGGAAGAAAUAGGAUUCGGAUGAAGAAUAAGAAAGAGAAAACGAUGCCGAGGCUAAAGUCAAAACCUAAGUCGAAGUUCAAGCUAAAGAAGAUGCCUAAGUUGAAGCUUAAGUCGAUGCCAAAGCCGGUCUGGAAUAGGGAACACCAAUUGAAAUAGCUGCCUUCCCUUACUAAUGUGGGAUCAGUUCCUCUCGAACACCUCCUAGGAGCGUCGCAUUCGAUGCAUCUAGGGUUUUAUUUUAGAGAGGCGCCUUGCGUGGGUGCUAUCUAAAUUGAGGUUUUUCCUACCUAGCUCAAUAAUGGAGAGAAUGCCCUUACGGGGUUAUUUCCGUUCAGUCUAAUCCUAUUCUCAUGUGCAAAGGCUUAUCGAUCCCUUUUGAGUCAGAUGUGGCAUUGCUGAUUUGAGAGCAGUUGUCCUUUCUACUAAAAUUAUCCCUGCUUUUCGCCCGUCGCUCAUGUGUUAAGCCAUGUCUUCAGCCUAGUGCCAUCUACACCAUAUCUGAUUUCCUUUCCUUCCCGCUCUGAUCCAGCUACUCCUCUUCUUUUAAUGCCUACAGAGAGGUUUAGUUAGCCUGCUUCCUCUCUGUUCAAGGAGCGCUUAUUCCUUCUUCGAGAGCAGCUUAUUCUUGUGCUACAGUACAGAACAAGGCAUUCGAGCAAAGGCAUAAAGAAGCCUAGCCUUUAGUUCACUUGCAAGAGAGAGAGCCCAGAGAGAGUGCCCUUAUUUAUACAACGUCCUUACUUUCUUCGAUGCGCCUAGUAAAGUAGCCAUAUUCACAAGGAAAGGAAGCCAUAGACCGAUGGCAUAAAAUGAGUUAGAUUUCCUGUGCUAACAAGAAGCAAUUUCUUCGGGUAGCUCAUCAGGAUGAAAGAAGCAGCCGUAGCAUGAAAGAAAGAGAAGUAGAGUAGGAUGAAGGAAGCAGAAGUGAUAGGCAAGCGUGCCUGGAAGCGCAAUGCUAUUGUAGCAGCUCCUUAGCCUUCUUUCAGUCCUCCAUUCUCUCUUUGGAAAUGUGUAUCACCAUACACUCAUCUCAUACCAGAUACUGAAUCUAGGGCUAAGUUCCAAUCUUUCAACCUUUUUUCAUAUAUUUGACUUGGAGAUUCCCGGUCUUCUGUCUUAACCCUGACCCUAUUCAGAGAGACUCUUCAACAGCACCUUUUCGCACCCAGCAUCUUAGCAAUGUUCCGAAUGUCUGGUCAUUGAUAAUCUUUCUCAUAGAUUAGUUUGAUGCCGACUAGAUUUGAUCACAACUAACGGGUAGUACUAUAGGGGUCUUACUCUCAGCAGUGAAUGACAAAGGAAUGUGGAAUGUCAAGCUGUGAAACUGAAAUCAUCAAUCUUUUGCUUUUUCUAUUCCGUGUAGCGGAGACUUUUUAGUAAAAAUACCAAGCUGUGAGACUUCUUCAGUGAGAAUCCCAGUGUGAAAGACUUGGCAAGAUUGGCUUCGUAGUGGUACCACAACUUGGAUGAACAAGUCGAAACUUCUCUUUUUGGCUAUACCUCCUGUAAAUCAAAACACAAGUUUAGGGCACCCUAACGGUGGGACACGACAUGGAGAUUGAAUCAUCUUUCUCUCUUUAACCUCUUUCCCUCAUUACUGAAGCGAGUGUUCGGGCAGGUGGAGUGAUAGCUAAGCGAGUCAGUCAACGAGCGGGAUAUAUGAAGUGAACCAGAUAGGGCCCCGGGUUUCAUUCCGCCUUGUUCCAAGUAACAAGAUCUAUUUCGAGAAAAAAGUGGGGGAUUCUUUAGCUAGAGCAAAGGGCUAUUUCGUGAACUCGAGGAAGAAUGAGUACUAGUCCUGGCUUUUAAAAGACUAGUUCCUGUCCUGUCUGUGUCUGAGGGAGCAGCAAAGCCCCCGAAGCGGUAUAAGAGAAAGAAGUCAGUGCUGCUUUUGCUGUUACAGAAUCUGCUUUUUCUAGUUCAAAUAGUGUCUCACAUUCAAGCCCGGAAAUUCUUGUUUGAAUGCCCAAAGAUCUGCCUUAUCGAACAUCUAAGACUGAGAAGACUGAUGGCAUUAAGGCAUAAGCUGCUAUCGAAUCUAGCUAUCCUGAAGUGACUUAAAUAUGAAUGAAUAGAAAGAGAAAGAGAAUAGGCGGAGAAUGCCCUGAGAGAGGGAGCUGUGAGGGAAGGGAAGCUACCUUGCGUCUACUAGAACAAGUACUAGCACUAAUGAAAGGGAAAUGUUUAAUCAGGUCAAUAAAGCUGAGAUGCUUCUACUUCCCAAAUUGCCUCUGCUGGCAUCAUCCAAAGAGAAAGACUCAGUCUUAGUGGUUGCCAAUAGAGAAGGUAGAAGGCGCUUUAGCCCUUUUGCUUGCUGAGAAAUGCCCCCCUUUUUGCCUAUCUCACUUGUUUACAGCUCUUAUGGGUAUUUUAGCGCUGCUUUCACAUGAUGCAAUAUCUAGGCCUCCUAGACCUGUUCUCUCGCCCAAGCCUCACAGCAUUCAUAUUCCAAGCACUAAGUAUUCCCUGCCUGCUCAGAUGCGUCAAUCCACCUAUAUGUACCCUUUUCCUCGCAUAGAGAGCUCUAGUAGUUCUUGGUAGGAGGGAACUAAGACUUUAUCUAAGGUUCAUUUCUAUUUGCUCUCCCGCUACGCUAGUACUUAAGAGACUAUCUUAGCCCAGAGUGAUCCCCCACUACCAAAGUGGAGACACCUUUAUCUCGUCAGCUCCUUACCGCUCCGUGGGGCUACCUUCACGUCACUUCCUUGAACUCGCUUAAGGAAAUCCCAAGCUCCAACACUCGAAAAGAAAAACUACACAACAACAAGGCAAUGGGGCCUACAAAGCCCCAUUUAUACCACCACUCAAAAUGACAACUCAAAACACCAAUUAUGAAACCCUCUCUCUCCCACUUCACACCUCGGAACGCACCGUUCUUAUAGAGAGAAAGGCGCUUUCACAUCUUCUUAACCCGAAAUGGCUGGGGAGAGGUAAGGUUCUUUUUUUUUAGGGUACUCCUGGGAACAGAUCCAGUGGAGACGAGGUGGGGCCUAUAGCUCAGAGGAUUAGAGCACGUGGGACAGGUGAGGGAAGGAAGAAAGAUCUCUGAUCCAGUGGAUGCUUGAAAGUGAGGUAAGCCGAUCCCAUGAGAAGGGUUCAAGCCGAGCUCCUUUAGCUAGUAGAAAGCGGUUAGCGCCUGUCGUAAAGGGCAUUAGGUUUUGAAAGAAGACCUGAAGACCGGGUUGUGACAAUGAAAAUUUUUCCUAUUGAUUUGAGUGCCGAUAUUAUCGUUUUGUAAAAUAUUAAAGGUUGACAAGGUACGGUACGUCAGUUCCGGGACUUAUCUUGAGAAGGGGAGUUUGAAGCCCGCCCCAUGGAAGGUGGGAUUCGAAUGUCACGUCUUUAGUUGUGCCCGGAAGCGGGUAAGGUCAAGUUGUACCCGAUCUACUGAUCGAUCGUAGACCAGUCUUGUAGUUGAUUCUUCGGCUAUUUUUUAUUCUUCUUUAAAGGAUCCACGGAGCCUGUCCCGGGAUUGAAUCUUGUUCAGUGAAGCGAAGAAUGGUAAUAUUUUUACUCCUUAGAAGAUUGGAUUCGAGUGUCACACUCUUUAGCUGCCGUUAAGCGGUUAAGUAGGAAGGAUAGGGCUAUUGUUGUUGUAGUAGAAGCUAAAGGUUGUCAACUGAUGUUCUGUUCCAGGUUUUCCAGCUUGAAAAUGAAGACGAAGCCAGCCAUCCCAUGGAAGAUGGGCGGUGAGUAGAAAGGCUUUUAGCGCUGUGCUGCGGCAUGGGCCCUUCAGCUUCUUAGGCAAACUCUUUCAUAACCUUGUCCCUUGUGUCGUUGAGAGGAGUCUAAAGCCAGAUAAGACCAUUCCCUAAGGGACUUUUUCUUAGAAAGUCAGGCUGGUUGUCAAUCAGAAGAUCAGGCCAAAAUCGACGAUUCUAGACUGGGUUGAGACAUUCUUGUCGGUCAAUGUGGAUUUCUUGCCUGACAGAUAGCCUUUUUUUUCUGCCGGAGGUAGUAAGUUAGCGAGAGGGGUGAAGCAGGCUAGCGAUUCUACUAUUACGUUCCAGUAGUAAGCUGAUAGUCGCUAUCUUCUCUUAGGUAGCAGCACAUGGGAGUAGCAAGAAUCUGCCUCCCGCAUAAGAUAAGAAGGGGCGAAGCGCUAGUUAGUGGGAAUAGUCCUUUCCUAGGCCCCUGGCGAGAAGACGGCUCACGGCUUGCAUGUACAAGAUCGUAGUGAAAUCGCAGCUUCACCGUCGUUCGCGCUGAUCCCGAGCAGCGUGUCAGCCGAGAGGGAACUCGGUAAAGAAAUUCGGCUCGAGGGCCUCUAUUUCCACAGGCUUUGUCUUUGUUUCUAUAGGAUCUGCUGCUCCAACCCUAUCUACUUGUGAUGUACCUGGGUUGGUUUGGCCUUUUACGUAAUCCUUUCCGCUGAUGGUUAUGGGUAAACCACAGUAAAGCAAAAAGGAAAGCCUCUCAGACAACGUUUUCGUCGCCGUUAAAGCCGAGAGAGAAGUCUCUAAAGCCGCUAUGGUCUGGGCUCUCGCUUACGUCGUCCGUCCGGGGGACUCCAUUACGCUGCUCGCCCUAUUAGCCGGCGGCAACCAUGGUAAUUUAUUAAUUUCAGCCAGUCCGUAAUUUGUUGAAUAAUAGCAGCCGGUUGAGAUAUUUCGCCAGGAAAUUCAUCUUCGGUAUGGUACACAUAUCUAUACAGUAUUGCAGAGACGAGCUGGCUAGACUCUUAUCGAAAUUGCGUAUAGAAAGAGAUUCGUCUUGAAAGCUAGACAGACAAUUUCUAUUUCCCUAUGGCCCAUGUGAUAGUGAAAGACAACAUUGUCCUAGAACGGUCAAAUAGAAUUUGAAUCUUCUAUUUGACUUCCUACGGGCAUCACAUGAUUACCAUAGUAUAUGAAGACCUCAGUCAGCUCCCCCACCAAUGAGCGGUGGUGCUUCUGUUCCAG
This 18122-nucleotide long non-coding RNA is filed under the name Gossypium barbadense (sea-island cotton). RNAcentral's name for it is "long non-coding RNA (GBAR_LNC002386)". Lineage: Eukaryota; Viridiplantae; Streptophyta; Magnoliopsida; Malvales; Malvaceae. The record is from RNAcentral.